Molecule: ribosomal RNA, 396 nt
Filed under: uncultured Paracoccaceae bacterium
Lineage: Bacteria; Pseudomonadati; Pseudomonadota; Alphaproteobacteria; Rhodobacterales; Paracoccaceae
Description: bacterial SSU rRNA
Rfam family: Bacterial small subunit ribosomal RNA
Source: RNAcentral
AGAACCUUACCAACCCUUGACAUCCCUGGACCGCCGGAGAGAUUCGGUUUCUCGUAAGAGACCAGGUGACAGGUGCUGCAUGGCUGUCGUCCAGCUCGUGUCGUGAGAUGUUCGGUUAAGUCCGGCAACGAGCGCAACCCACAUCCCUAGUUGCCAGCAGGUUAAGCUGGGCACUCUAUGGAAACUGCCCGUGAUAAGCGGGAGGAAGGUGUGGAUGACGUCAAGUCCUCAUGGCCCUUACGGGUUGGGCUACACACGUGCUACAAUGGCAGUGACAAUGGGUUAAUCCCAAAAAGCUGUCUCAGUUCGGAUUGGGGUCUGCAACUCGACCCCAUGAAGUCGGAAUCGCUAGUAAUCGCGUAACAGCAUGACGCGGUGAAUACGUUCCCGGGCCUU